GAUGAACGCUGGCGGCGUGCCUAAUACAUGCAAGUCGAGCGAACGGACGAGAAGCUUGCUUCUCUGAUGUUAGCGGCGGACGGGUGAGUAACACGUGGAUAACCUACCUAUAAGACUGGGAUAACUUCGGGAAACCGUAGCUAAUACCGGAUAAUAUUUUGAACCGCAUGGUUCAAAAGUGAAAGACGGUCUUGCUGUCGCUUAUAGAUGGAUCCGCGCUGCAUUAGCUAGUUGGUAAGGUAACGGCUUACCAAGGCGACGAUGCAUAGCCGACCUGAGAGGGUGAUCGGCCACACUGGAACUGAGACACGGUCCAGACUCCUACGGGAGGCAGCAGUAGGGAAUCUUCCGCAAUGGGCGAAAGCCUGACGGAGCAACGCCGCGUGAGUGAUGAAGGUCUUCGGAUCGUAAAACUCUGUUAUUAGGGAAGAACAUAUGUGUAAGUAACUGUGCACAUCUUGACGGUACCUAAUCAGAAAGCCACGGCUAACUACGUG
This 497-nucleotide ribosomal RNA is filed under the name uncultured bacterium. RNAcentral's name for it is "partial 16S ribosomal RNA". It matches the Rfam family "Bacterial small subunit ribosomal RNA", at positions 28 to 507 of the family's 1533-position model. The record is from RNAcentral.